UGCCUAAUACAUGCAAGUAGAACGCUGAAGCUUGGUGCUUGCACCGAUGCGGAUGAGCUGCGAACGGGUGAGUAACGCGUAGGUAACCUGCCUCUUAGCGGGGGAUAACUAUUGGAAACGAUAGCUAAUACCGCAUAAAAGUCGAUAUCGCAUGAUAUUGAUUUGAAAGGUGCAAUUGCAUCACUAAGAGAUGGACCUGCGUUGUAUUAGCUAGUUGGUGAGGUAACGGCUCACCAAGGCGACGAUACAUAGCCGACCUGAGAGGGUGAUCGGCCACACUGGGACUGAGACACGGCCCAGACUCCUACGGGAGGCAGCAGUAGGGAAUCUUCGGCAAUGGGGGCAACCCUGACCGAGCAACGCCGCGUGAGUGAAGAAGGUUUUCGGAUCGUAAAGCUCUGUUGUAAGAGAAGAACGAGUGUGAGAGUGGAAAGUUCACACUGUGACGGUAACUUACCAGAAAGGGACGGCUAACUACGUGCCAGCAGCCGCGGUAAUACGUAGGUCCCGAGCGUUAUCCGGAUUUAUUGGGCGUAAAGCGAGCGCAGGCGGUUAGAUAAGUCUGAAGUUAAAGGCUGUGGCUUAACCAUAGUACGCUUUGGAAAUUGUUUAACUUGAGUGCAGAAGGGGAGAGUGGAAUUCCAUGUGUAGCGGUGAAAUGCGUAGAUAUAUGGAGG
RNAcentral lists this ribosomal RNA (677 nucleotides) under uncultured Bacilli bacterium. Its description in RNAcentral is "bacterial SSU rRNA". It matches the Rfam family "Bacterial small subunit ribosomal RNA", at positions 45 to 704 of the family's 1533-position model. Lineage: Bacteria; Bacillati; Bacillota; Bacilli. The record is from RNAcentral.